CCCGCCCGUCCUGAACAAACCCACUUGCAAGAAGGGAAGAAGCUUCAGCCGUUAGUGCAAGCGGAGGAAUUGUCCUUCGAAUGAUGUUUUUUGGGCCAGGUUUUUAAGGACUUUAAUUAGGUAUACUGGUUACGGAGACGACAGAGAGCAACCCUUUCCACGCCCAGACACUUGAUGGAAGAUGAUCACUUUGGCAGGCAAGGCAAAGCUAACGAGAGCUUGUGAAGGCUGCCGUCGGGUGAAGAGCGGAGGACGCAAGAAGACCCCGGGGUGUGCUUUUGUGCAGCCAUCUGGCCCUUCAGCCCGUGCCCAUGGUCCCGUGCGUCACCGUCCUCCUCCACCAAGGACUCAAGAUAAGGCCAAAACGUAUCUCGUGUUUCAUAUGCCCAGCUCUGCUCUUUGGACACGCUGGGGAGAGCAGGCUGCGAGGGACUGGGGGUCAGGGCGGUGGGGUCCGUCGGUGCGCUGGCGUUGGCUGGGAGCUGGGGGGGUCUGGCCAAACCCCCUGCUCAAAGCUCAGCCAACCUGGGGAGCUCGGGGCUGGUUGCCCGGGCCCUGGUUCUGUUGUAUUUUGGGUAUCCCCAGGGAUGCUCUCCAUGACUCGUCCACGUCUUCCUCGCGUGGCCCCUCCCGCCCCACUCCUUUCCACCCAUCGCCCCAGCACCCCCAUGCAGGACUUUGCCCCCCGCCAUUGCUUAACCUCGGGAGGUCCUCUGGGCACGUUUCCCACCCUGACACCAUUCCCAAGCCGCCGCGGGCAGCGCGGUGCCACGUGGGAUGUUGUCCCACGGCAUCCCAGCACCGAGGGACAACCGCGGCCCUGAGUCACCUCAAACGUCCUGUUGAGUCAGCACCAAGUACUUUGGAUGGACCCAGCUGGUGUGUGUUUUUAGUGAUCAAGACUGAAAAAAAUGGCAGUGUGGCAGCAGUGCAUAAAUGUUAACACACUUAAAUUACUUUGCAGUAUCCAGAAAGACAGUAUUACCUAUGGAUUGUUCUAGAUUGCUGUUUUAACUCUCAUGUAGUCUAAUUGAACAGUGCAAACAAACAGGGGUUGAUCCUUUCCUUUAUCCCAAUUAAAAAAAAUGACGAUUUUUGUG
Molecule: long non-coding RNA, 1100 nt
Organism: Chroicocephalus ridibundus (black-headed gull)
Lineage: Eukaryota; Metazoa; Chordata; Aves; Charadriiformes; Laridae
Exons: 3
Source: RefSeq, a predicted model, not a curated record